RNAcentral lists this ribosomal RNA (508 nucleotides) under uncultured bacterium. RNAcentral describes it as "partial 16S ribosomal RNA". It matches the Rfam family "Bacterial small subunit ribosomal RNA", at positions 28 to 507 of the family's 1533-position model. The record is from RNAcentral.
GACGAACGCUGGCGGCGUGCUUAACACAUGCAAGUCGAACGGGCCUUGUCCCCUUUUUUUUUGGGGGUGGGGUUAGUGGCGAACGGGUGAGUAACACGUGAGUAACCUGCCCCUCACUUCUGGAUAACCGCUUGAAAGGGUGGCUAAUACGGGGUGUUCUGGCCUGCUCGCAUGGGUGGGUUUGGAAAGAUUCGACCGGUUUUGGUUGUUUUGGUGGGGGAUGGGCGCGCGGCCUAUCAGCUGGUGGGUGGGGUGCUGGCCUGCCAAGGCUUUGACGGGUAGCCGGCCUGAGAGGGUGGGCGGCCACACUGGGACUGAGACCCGGCCCAGACUCCUACGGGAGGCAGCAGUGGGGAAUAGUGCACAAUGGGCGCACGCCUGAUGCAGCGACGCCGCGUGAGGGAUGGAGGCCUUCGGGUUGUGAACCUCUUUCGCCAGUGAAGAAGGUCCUGCUCUUUGUGGUGGGGUUGACGGUAGCUGGGUUAAUGAAGCGCCGGCUAACUACGUG